Molecule: long non-coding RNA, 454 nt
Organism: Pistacia vera
Lineage: Eukaryota; Viridiplantae; Streptophyta; Magnoliopsida; Sapindales; Anacardiaceae
Exons: 3
Source: RefSeq, a predicted model, not a curated record
GCUCAGAAUUAGGUAGCCAUGAUCAUUUAUUUGAAAAUAACAACAAUACACAUUUAUUUUCCUGUUAUUAGUUUCUGAAUUUUCUGUAAUAUAUAUCCACCAAAACAAUUUAGACUGCUGAUCAUCUUUAGAGCCAAAUGAAACCUUUUACAUGUGUCAGAGAAAUAAGGCUGAAACCUUUGUCAAGUGUCAAGCACAGGAAUCAAAUAUUGCGGUUCUAUGCAACCUCUCCGAUGCUAGCUGCUGUUAUAUACACGGAUUCCAUCAAUCAGGUUACGAGCAUGGACAACCAAAGAAGGUUGAUCUUCUGUGGAACAUAUGCAGCUUGAUAACUGGUUCAUUUACUCAUUCAUCUGCAAGGGUUUGAGUUUCUGGUUAAACACCAGAAACCUGCGGUGGUGUUGGUUUUGUUUAUGACUGAAGCAAUAUCCGUUGCGCUCGAUCAGCUUGGAAA